GAGAGAGGAACUUGACAGGAGCGCAGAGAAUAAGUUUGUGAGAGAGCACCUGAGUGAAGCGCGUGAGACGGGUUAUUACUGCACGUAAAUAUAUGGAUAAUAGCAAACAAGCAAAUACAUUUAUUGAGCACGGAAUCGUUUUUUAUUUGCUCAAACUAUUUUUUUUUUGCGAUUGUUAAUUUCUGUUCAAAAUAUAAUAUAAUGUGCUUGCAAAAUAUAGUUCUCUCUGCUCAAAACUUACAAUUGCUCGCUCAGGAAUGAGGCACAAAUAUUACGCCAUAGGAACAGACCUGUCAGAAAACAUCUCUGAACCAUAUGGCUAUGUUUUUCAGGAUUUUUGGAUGAAUAGAAAAUUAACCCUGGAUAACCCAAGAACCCUUUGUUAGGAUCCUGCCGGAGUCCUGUUGGAAUCUCUCUCCGUGCCCGCCAGGAUUUCGUCAGUGUUAACAUCUCUCUGGAUGUCCUACAGCCCGGCUGGGUUUCCCACAUUGUGACGGUUCAAGAGGAUCGCGUGGUUCGCCUCGCUUGUGUUAUUUCUUCACCUCUUCAUCACACACACGGACACAGAGAGUUUUCUACUACACAUAUCACUGAUGACAUCGAGAGUUGAUCUACCUAUCUCAGUACGCUUAUUAAAGAAAAUCAUAACAACCCUCGUUUCCUCUUUAGCACAGUUGCAAAACUGACAAGAAACAAAGAACAAACAGAAACCAAUAGUAAACUCCAACACAAUAGUAACGAUUUCAUGAACUUCUUUUCUAACAAAAUUAAGGCUAUUAGGGAAAACAUCGUAACUACCCAAGCAGCCAUCACUCUACCCAUUAGUUCACUAAACACUAGAUUACCAUAUGAACAUCUUGAUUCAUUUAAACCUACUACAAUAGAUGAGCUCUCUAAACUAGUCACAUCAUCCAAAUCAUCGUCCUGUAUAUUAAACCCCGUUCCCACAAAACUACUUAAAGAGGUAUUCCCUGUAGUGUCAACCCCGGUUCUAAAUAUCUUUAACUCAUCGUUAAAAAUAGGAUAUGUUCCAACAGCUUUCAAGCUAGCAGUUAUUAAACCGCUGAUUAAAAAACCACAGCUUGAUCAGGGAGAGCUUAAUAACUUUAGACCAAUCUCAAAUCUCCCUUUUCUUUCGAAAAUAUUAGAAAAAGUAGUGGCAAGCCAGUUACGCACAUUCUUGACAAAUAAUAGUACGUAUGAAAAGUUCCAAUCAGGAUUCAGGCCCCACCAUAGCACAGAGACAGCGUUGCUUAGAGUUACAAAUGACCUCCUGUUAACAUCCGAUCGUGGUGAAAUCUCAAUCCUUAUAUUACUAGACCUUAGUGCAGCCUUUGACACAAUAGAUCACACAAUCUUACUCAAUAGACUAGAAAACUAUGUUCGUAUCAGUGGUCAGGCGUUAGCCUGGUUUAGGUCGUAUCUAACCAAUCGCUAUCACUUUGUUUAUGUAAAUGAGGAACAGUCAUAUCACUCCCUGGUUAAAUAUGGUGUACCGCAGGGAUCAGUUUUAGGUCCUAUCCUGUUCUCAUUAUAUAUGUUACCUCUAGGAGACAUUAUCAGGAAACAUAACAUAAGUUUUCACUGCUAUGCGGAUGAUACCCAGCUUUACAUCUCCUCACAUCCCAGCGAA
Paramisgurnus dabryanus is the source of this 1633-nucleotide non-coding RNA. Lineage: Eukaryota; Metazoa; Chordata; Actinopteri; Cypriniformes; Cobitidae. The record is from RefSeq and is a predicted model, not a curated record.